RNAcentral lists this ribosomal RNA (253 nucleotides) under uncultured bacterium. Its description in RNAcentral is "partial 16S ribosomal RNA". It matches the Rfam family "Bacterial small subunit ribosomal RNA", at positions 524 to 776 of the family's 1533-position model. The record is from RNAcentral.
UACGUAGGGUGCAAGCGUUGUCCGGAAUUAUUGGGCGUAAAGAGCUCGUAGGCGGUUUGUUGCGUCGGCUGUGAAAUCCCGAGGCUCAACCUCGGGUCUGCAGUCGAUACGAGCAAACUAGAGUGUUGCAGGGGAGACUGGAAUUCCUGGUGUAGCGGUGGAAUGCGCAGAUAUCAGGAGGAACACCGGUGGCGAAGGCGGGUCUCUGGGCCGUUACUGACGCUGAGGAGCGAAAGCGUGGGGAGCGAACAGG